This 549-nucleotide ribosomal RNA is filed under the name uncultured bacterium. Its description in RNAcentral is "partial 16S ribosomal RNA". It matches the Rfam family "Bacterial small subunit ribosomal RNA", at positions 355 to 920 of the family's 1533-position model. The record is from RNAcentral.
UGGGGAAUAUUGCACAAUGGGCGAAAGCCUGAUGCAGCAACGCCGCGUGAGUGAUGAAGGCCUUCGGGUUGUAAAGCUCUGUCUUUUGGGACGAUAAUGACGGUACCAAAGGAGGAAGCCACGACUAACUACGUGCCAGCAGCCGCGGUAAUACGUAGGUGGCAAGCGUUGUCCGGAUUUACUGGGCGUAAAGGAUGCGUAGGCGGAUUUUUAAGUGAGAUGUGAAAUACCCGGGCUUAACUUGGGUGCUGCAUUUCAAACUGGGAAUCUAGAGUGCGGGAGAGGAGAAUGGAAUUCCUAGUGUAGCGGUGAAAUGCGUAGAGAUUAGGAAGAACACCAGUGGCGAAGGCGAUUCUCUGGACCGUAACUGACGCUGAGGCAUGAAAGCGUGGGUAGCAAACAGGAUUAGAUACCCUGGUAGUCCACGCCGUAAACGAUGAGUACUAGGUGUAGGAGGUAUCGACCCCUUCUGUGCCGCAGUUAACACAAUAAGUACUCCGCCUGGGAAGUACGAUCGCAAGAUUAAAACUCAAAUGAAUUGACGGGGUC